This 449-nucleotide ribosomal RNA is filed under the name uncultured bacterium. Its description in RNAcentral is "bacterial SSU rRNA". It matches the Rfam family "Archaeal small subunit ribosomal RNA", at positions 725 to 1163 of the family's 1478-position model. The record is from RNAcentral.
AGUAAAUAGAUACCCCGGUAGUCCUAGCCGUAAACGAUACUCGCUAGGUGUCGGCCACGGUGCGACCGUUGUCGGUGCCGUAGGGAAAGCCGUGAAGCGAGCCACCUGGGGAAGUACGGCCGCAAGGCUGAAAACUUAAAGGAAUUGGCGGGGGAGCACCACAACGGGUGGAGCUUGCGGUUUAAUUGGAUUCAACGCCGGAAAUCUUACCGGGACCGACAGCAAUAUGAAGGCCAGGCUGAAGACUUUGCCGGAUUAGCUGAGAGGUGGUGCAUGGCCGUCGUCAGUUCGUACUGUGAAAGCAUCCUGUUAAGUCAGGCAACCGAGCGAGACCCACGCCCACAGUUGCCAGCGUACUCUCUGGAGUGACGGGUUACACGUGUGGGGUACCGCCGCUGCCUAAAGCGGAGGAAGGAAUGGGCAACGGUAGGUCAGUAUGCCCCGAAUAU